ACUGGGCGUUAAGUUGCAGGGUAUAGACCCGAAACCCGGUGAUCUAGCCAUGGGCAGGUUGAAGGUUGGGUAACACUAACUGGAGGACCGAACCGACUAAUGUUGAAAAAUUAGCGGAUGACUUGUGGCUGGGGGUGAAAGGCCAAUCAAACCGGGAGAUAGCUGGUUCUCCCCGAAAGCUAUUUAGGUAGCGCCUCGUGAAUUCAUCUCCGGGGGUAGAGCACUGUUUCGGCAAGGGGGUCAUCCCGACUUACCAACCCGAUGCAAACUGCGAAUACCGGAGAAUGUUAUCACGGGAGACACACGGCGGGUGCUAACGUCCGUCGUGAAGAGGGAAACAACCCAGACCGCCAGCUAAGGUCCCAAAGUCAUGGUUAAGUGGGAAACGAUGUGGGAAGGCCCAGACAGCCAGGAUGUUGGCUUAGAAGCAGCCAUCAUUUAAAGAAAGCGUAAUAGCUCACUGGUCGAGUCGGCCUGCGCGGAAGAUGUAACGGGGCUAAACCAUGCACCGAAGCUGCGGCAGCGACACUGUGUGUUGUUGGGUAGGGGAGCGU
RNAcentral lists this ribosomal RNA (554 nucleotides) under Escherichia coli. RNAcentral describes it as "partial 23S ribosomal RNA". It matches the Rfam family "Bacterial large subunit ribosomal RNA", at positions 687 to 1239 of the family's 2925-position model. The record is from RNAcentral. Lineage: Bacteria; Pseudomonadati; Pseudomonadota; Gammaproteobacteria; Enterobacterales; Enterobacteriaceae.